Molecule: ribosomal RNA, 442 nt
Filed under: uncultured bacterium
Lineage: Bacteria
Description: bacterial SSU rRNA
Rfam family: Bacterial small subunit ribosomal RNA
Source: RNAcentral
AACGAACGCUGGCGGCAUGCCUAACACAUGCAAGUCGAACGAGACCUUCGGGUCUAGUGGCGCACGGGUGCGUAACGCGUGGGAAUCUGCCCUUGGGUUCGGAAUAACAGUUAGAAAUGACUGCUAAUACCGGAUGAUGUCUUCGGACCAAAGAUUUAUCGCCCAGGGAUGAGCCCGCGUAGGAUUAGCUAGUUGGUGGGGUAAAGGCCUACCAAGGCGACGAUCCUUAGCUGGUCUGAGAGGAUGAUCAGCCACACUGGGACUGAGACACGGCCCAGACUCCUACGGGAGGCAGCAGUGGGGAAUAUUGGACAAUGGCGAAAGCCUGAUCCAGCAAUGCCGCGUGAGUGAUGAAGGCCUUAGGGUUGUAAAGCUCUUUUACCCGGGAUGAUAAUGACAGUACCGGGAGAAUAAGACCCCGGCUAACUCCGUGCCAGCAGCC